This 484-nucleotide ribosomal RNA is filed under the name uncultured bacterium. Its description in RNAcentral is "partial 16S ribosomal RNA". It matches the Rfam family "Bacterial small subunit ribosomal RNA", at positions 30 to 507 of the family's 1533-position model. The record is from RNAcentral.
AUUGAACGCUGGCGGCAGGCCUAACACAUGCAAGUCGAGCGGAUGAAGGAAGCUUGCUCCUGGAUUCAGCGGCGGACGGGUGAGUAAUGCCUAGGAAUCUGCCUGGUAGUGGGGGAUAACGUCCGGAAACGGGCGCUAAUACCGCAUACGUCCUGAGGGAGAAAGUGGGGGAUCUUCGGACCUCACGCUAUCAGAUGAGCCUAGGUCGGAUUAGCUAGUUGGUGGGGUAAAGGCCUACCAAGGCGACGAUCCGUAACUGGUCUGAGAGGAUGAUCAGUCACACUGGAACUGGGACACGGUCCAGACUCCUACGGGAGGCAGCAGUGGGGAAUAUUGGAAAAUGGGCGAAAGCCUGAUCCAGCCAUGCCGCGUGUGUGAAGAAGGUCUUCGGAUUGUAAAGCACUUUAAGUUGGGAGGAAGGGCAGUAAGUUAAUACCUUGCUGUUUUGACGUUACCAACAGAAUAAGCACCGGCUAACUUCGUG